RNAcentral lists this small nuclear RNA (155 nucleotides) under Sciurus vulgaris (Eurasian red squirrel). Its description in RNAcentral is "U4 spliceosomal RNA (ENSSVLG00005012148.1)". It matches the Rfam family "U4 spliceosomal RNA". Rfam says of the family: U4 small nuclear RNA (U4 snRNA) is a component of the major U2-dependent spliceosome. The structure of U4 snRNA from yeast and human has been reported. The record is from RNAcentral. Lineage: Eukaryota; Metazoa; Chordata; Mammalia; Rodentia; Sciuridae.
AGUUUUGCCCAGUGGCCCUCUUACAGCUAAUGAGGCUUAUCUGAGGCAAGAGAAUUGCUAAUUGAAAACUUCCCCCAGUACUCCAUUGUGAUGUCUUGCAAUAUAGUCAGCAUGAGGAAUUUUUGUUAGUCACUACAGACCCUGGAAAAAAGAGA